RNAcentral lists this unclassified non-coding RNA (1147 nucleotides) under Zea mays. RNAcentral describes it as "misc RNA Zm00001eb341600". The record is from RNAcentral. Lineage: Eukaryota; Viridiplantae; Streptophyta; Magnoliopsida; Poales; Poaceae.
AUGGCGUCCUCUACCCUUCUUCCUCCCUGGCGCUCGCUCCCUGCAGGAGAACAGUCCGGCUCCUCAUCCCCUCCCCCUUCUUCUUCCUUUGCCUUUCUUCUUCCCUGCUUCACGGCAGCAAGGCCACUAGCAGGCUCCCUGCUCCACGCGCCGCCCAGCCAUGGCGUCGUGCUUCCUCCCAUGGCGCAGGAGAUGCCCCAGCGAGCUCCCUUCCCUUCCCCAUGGCUCGAGCUCGAGUUUCCUCAUGGCGCUGCCUCCCUGUCCAUGGCGACGCAGCAGCUCCCUCCCAUGGCGCCCCCUGCUCUUCCUCCUUGGCGCCCAGAAUUUGCAGCAGCAUCUCCCUCCCCCAAACUUCUCUUGCCAUGGCCGAUUCUUCCCUGCGCCCUACUCUCCCAUGGAAAUCCAGCAGGAGCUCCAUUUCCUCCAUGGUCGGCGCCCCGCGCAGCGCCUCUGCGCGACUCUCCCUCCCCAAACAGCGAGCCCGCUUCCUCGCUGCUCGUCGUGGUGCCCGCCGGCUGUUCGGCAAAAUGCGCAGCAAGCCGCACGCUGCAGCAACCCUCCAGUUCAUUCUCCACUUCCCCGUCGCGAGUCAUCGCUCUCGUGUUUGCUGCGCAGCGAACAGCAUGUCGGGAUUCCCGCCGGGUGUUUGCUGUUUUGCGCAGCUCCGUUGUCGUCGUCGUUCACCCCGGAGAUAACCCCGUGUUUUGCGUGGAGAAGGCAAGCCGCUCGACGCUCGUCGAUGUCGUAGCGAUGCACAAAUCGGAAUCACCGUCGUCCUUGCAAACGCCGAUUGGGUUUGUUUAUGGACAGAGAGAUGACGAUCGUGCAAGUGAUGUGGUGCCAACCACAAGAUGCAGUUGGUGGACGACCUGAAGAAUGAUGGACUUGACCAGUGGAUGCUCGCCAAGCGAGUGCCACCCCAGCAAACACAAUCUAAGUGUUAAAUUAAAGGUACUUCUUAGGUUGAUUUGUUGAUGGUGUGACUUGGCCUUCAUCCCUGCCACCGGGAUAGACGGUCGAGCGAGUUACUGCUUCCGCAGGAGAGGACCAAGAGGAGUAGCGUGGCCAGGCUUCGCCAUGUUACUCGGUUUUCUCCGUUAGUUAUUUCCGCUGCAUUAAAAUUUAUGGUUAUUAUUUCUAAAACUCC